RNAcentral lists this transfer RNA (67 nucleotides) under Marmota monax (woodchuck). RNAcentral's name for it is "tRNA.Ala". Lineage: Eukaryota; Metazoa; Chordata; Mammalia; Rodentia; Sciuridae. The record is from RNAcentral.
GGAUUGUGGCUCAGCGGUAGAGUGCUCCCCUAGCAUGGGCGGGACCCGAGUUCAAUCCUCAGCACCA